RNAcentral lists this long non-coding RNA (977 nucleotides) under Pan troglodytes (chimpanzee). RNAcentral describes it as "lincRNA". The record is from RNAcentral. Lineage: Eukaryota; Metazoa; Chordata; Mammalia; Primates; Hominidae.
GUGGGAUGUCUCUCCCUCCCCCACUCUCUGUUUCCCUUUCUUUUUUGUCCCCUCUCUCCAGGGCUCCUGAUUUCUCUUCAGCCUGACGCUCUUUUCAGUUAACUGCAAGGCGGUGCACCCAAGUCCGAUGGUGUCCUACCUGGUGACCUCCUACCUGUGCUGGGACGCCAGCGACUUGAGGCUGCACUCCGGAGCCGUGUCCUACCUAAGCCCAGUGGGCAUGUGAAGCAGAGGGCAGCCCUUGAAUGCGCGGCGGCUGAGCUACCGCGGGUGGGCCGUGCAGCAGGGCGCAGCGAGGCGGACAUCCAAACAGCGGAACUCAGACACUGACUCCGAGCACACCCCGGGCCUUCCCAUUUCAUACACCCUCGAGGAUGAGACCCAAGCACCUCCAAGGAAUAGCACCCGAGGUCUUCAGGACACCGACCGGUAGCCAUGGCCAGAUGCCCGGCCAACCCCUUCAGCGUGGUCACGCCCCGGAUAUUCGACCUCCCCUGAGGCCCCACCCCCUGAUAUCAGGCCACGCCCUCCGAGGGGACCGGUGGCAAACUCCAACCCUCGCUCUAGGGCCCGCCCUUUGCGGCUUUAUCCCUGCCCACUGGGUCCUCACAGUACCUCCACCCCAGAAGUCCAGCAUCCCCUCCCGUUCUGCAGACACUUGUCCAGCGUCCCGCUGAGCUUGGCAGUGUGGCUAGUUUGUGUGGCCCUGCCCCUGGUGCCCAGCCUUCGCAGGCCACACCCUGAAGCCACUCUCCACCCCCUCAGCCAGGGUGGUCUGCAUGGAACUUCUUUCCCGGAGUUCCAGCCUCAGCUCCGAUGUCCACCCUUGUCCCCAGGUGGACACAGCACCGCCCAGCAUUUGGUGCAACUCCACCCUUCUGCGGAACGGGCCCCUCCCUGGGAAGGCAUGGCUUGCAAUAACAUCCCUCUGUACCUUUUCUGGCUUCCCCGCCACAAUAAAACCUCUCAGCCUCAGA